RNAcentral lists this non-coding RNA (197 nucleotides) under Dialister micraerophilus. RNAcentral's name for it is "T-box sequence". It matches the Rfam family "T-box leader". From Rfam's summary of the family: Uncharged tRNA acts as the effector for transcription antitermination of genes in the T-box leader family. T-boxes are found upstream of many aminoacyl-tRNA synthetase genes and some amino acid biosynthetic genes usually in Gram-positive bacteria. The anticodon of a specific tRNA base pairs to a specifier sequence within the T-box motif, and the NCCA acceptor tail of the tRNA base pairs to a conserved bulge in the T-box antiterminator hairpin. Lineage: Bacteria; Bacillati; Bacillota; Negativicutes; Veillonellales; Veillonellaceae. The record is from RNAcentral.
UUGAAAGCGAUGAAUGAGAAUAUCUUUUUGAAAGUUUCAAGAGAGCAAAUGUUUGGUGAGAAUUUGUAUCCGUAAAAAAGAGAUCCGCUCAGGAGCAGUCGGUGAAGAAUCGAACGAGUGAUUUCGUUAUAAAAUCAAUGAGGGAAAUUUAUUAAAUUUCUGAAUAUGGGUGGCACCGCGAUAACUUCGUCCCAAUG